Molecule: long non-coding RNA, 794 nt
Filed under: Mytilus galloprovincialis (Mediterranean mussel)
Lineage: Eukaryota; Metazoa; Mollusca; Bivalvia; Mytilida; Mytilidae
Source: RNAcentral
AUAUUAUGACGUAAUUGUGACGUCAUUACAUAAAAAUCUUAAUGUUAUUCAUUGAUAUUUCUUGACACUAUGCAUUUCAAAUAUUAUGUGCCAAUUUGAAAAAGUUAUCAAACAUUUUAUUUUCUUGGGCCAAAACCAGGCCUAAUGCCCCUACUCCUUUGGUGUUGUUCCCUCGUCGGGAUUCGAACCCAUCGCCUGCAUUGUAACCGGCGUGCCAGACCAACGAUCACCUGGCCUUGAAGGCAUAAAACUUUGCUCAGUGCUCGGAGCACAAAAAUCAUGCUCGAAACAUGAAAUCCAGCAAUUUGAUUGGUUGAUUUUCGAGUCUGAGUACAAAAAUCAUGCUCGAAAGUUUUAUGACCGUGAGGCCUGGGCUUCAUAAAAAUGAAGCUUUCGGUGGCCGGGUGUUACCUUUCCACGUCAGUUUUUAUCUAGGGUCGUACUACAGUACAUGAUAUAUAAAGCAUGAAGAAUUUAUUUUUACAGAUCAGCUAAAUUAUUUAGAGUAAAGGAUCCUACAAAUUAAUGUAAGAUACAGUCACAGAAAUAAUUAUAUUUAUAAGUACGUCUGAACCAGUGACAAUUCUACAACAGAUUUAUCAAUCGGAUCACCAGCAGUAAUAGUGAUACAUGGCUGUGUACAUUCUGUGUAUACAACUCGUCUAAACAUCAACCCAACAAUAUAUAUGUAUAUAUUGAUGUAUCUUCGACCUGUUAGUCAAAUGCGUUUUGUUUAAAUAUACUUUUUCACUUUUUUGGUCUUUUGGAAAAUGUUGUUUGUGCUGUAUUUAGAC